Molecule: long non-coding RNA, 1572 nt
Filed under: Mytilus galloprovincialis (Mediterranean mussel)
Lineage: Eukaryota; Metazoa; Mollusca; Bivalvia; Mytilida; Mytilidae
Source: RNAcentral
GUUACGGUUACUGACUCAGGAACCUUGUAUAUUAUAUACGUUUAAUAAACUGGAUCCUUGUUGUGUUCAGUUAUCGAUACACUACGAUGGAAUUACGGACCAGUUUAACAUAAACAUGGUAAAUAGAUAGACAGCUGAUAAUCAUAAUUGAUUAAGAAAUAACCUGGAAGAAGAAAUGAGUUAACUAUUGAUUACAACAGAGACGAGAAUGCCAUCGUGUUUGUUCUGCUAAAAAAAGCAGGAACAUUGGAGUUUAUGGUUAGAUUUUAAAUAUUUAUUGUCUCCAAACUGGGUAAAUUUGAUAUAGUAACAACCCCCCCCCUUUUUUUUUUAAAUAACUCGAGAACCACACAUCUCGCUCGCUUAACAAAGUAACAAUAAGAAAUAAUUAUUGUUAGUUUCAAGAAUAAUUAAUCGUCAAAACUUAUUAUCCCUCCCCGACAUCAAAGGAAGUUAAAUGUAUUAUCCCAAAAUUAGACCAAAUUUUUAUGAUAUAAGGACGUCUUGACAGGCUAUUAUUUUAUUUUGUUUUGUUGGGUUUUUUUUUGCUUUGACGUCUUCCUCCUGUAUGAAAAAAACAUAAUAGACCCCCCCCCUUUUUCCCCAUAAUAUAGCUUUUUAAGAAGUCAUAAUUAUUUGGACUACCCCUGAAUAUAUUUCAGACAGACUCUUCUCUAAAAAAAUGUAAACAUGAUUUGAGAGAAAUCUUUGGAAUAGUUUUUUAAAUGAUUUAAUUAUUAUGUCAUGUAUAUAAUUGAACAUUAACAUAGUUAUAAACUGAGACUACUAGUAUAACACAUAGUGUUAUAGUAGUCUCAGCUAUAAACUUUCCAUUGUAUUGACCAAUAUGACUAACUCAUAUGCUCUUUCCCAUAAAUGUCACAAUAUCAAUAUAUUACAGUAAAACUGAUAGUUUGAUGACAUUGUUUAAGACUAUUGACCUCAGGUCAGCCUAAACUGAGUUUAAAACUGUAAUUUAUUCAUUAAAACAGUUCAAGACAUGUACCUUCUGAAAUGUGAUUGCAUCAAAAUUAAACCUAAGGCAUAACAUACUUAGUGUGCAGGAAGUGCCACCAAAUAAAUACUGAUUUGUAAAAUUAGAUGAUGAUAUUUGUGAAGUCAAAGAUAUUAUAGCUAGUUAUAACUGGUUUUAGAUAUAAAUCUGAGUAAAAGGUUGAUUUAUAUGUGCUCUUUCAUGUUUAGAUUAUAAUUUAAAUUUAAUCUUUUGAAGUUUUUUUUAUAAUAUUAAGACAUUAAAAUCACAAUUAUUUAUUUAUACACAAAAAAAUAAUUUUUGUCCUUUUUUAGUUGAAUGACUGUACACAAACAUUAUACACACAUAAUUUUGAUAAUUCUGUAAUGUUUUUUUUUUCUAUAGCCCCAGAAUGUGACAAAAGACUUAUUAAUCCAGAUUUACAAAAAAUAGAAAUAGUUCAGCUACCAUAAGACUGCUAUGACAAAAAUUUUGCAGUUUCCAGAAUUUGAGGUAGAGUAUAGUUAGGAAUAGUUUGAUUAUGCAGAUGCUUAGUUUGCCAUAAACAAUUAUGCCCUUGAUACAAAAGCAGAGGAAAC